CCUACGGGAGGCAGCAGUGAGGAAUAUUGGUCAAUGGUCGGGAGACUGAACCAGCCAAGCCGCGUGAGGGAGGAAGGUACAGAGUAUCGUAAACCUCUUUUGUCAGGGAACAAAGACUGGGACGCGUCCCCGGAUGAGUGUACCUGAAGAAAAAGCAUCGGCUAACUCCGUGCCAGCAGCCGCGGUAAUACGGGGGAUGCGAGCGUUAUCCGUAUUUAUUGGGUUUAAAGGGUGCGCGGGCGGUCUGUUAAGUCAGCGGGCAAAGCCCGGGGCAACACCCCGGUCCGCCGUUGAAACUGGCAGUCGAGAGUUGGAGAGAAGUAUGCGGAAUGCGCGGUGUAGCGGUGAAAUGCAUAGAUAUCGCGCAGAACUCCGAUUGCGAAGGCAGCAUGCCGGCUCCACACUGACGCUGAGGCACGAAAGCGUGGGUAUCGAACAGGAUUAGAUACCCCUGUAGUC
This 459-nucleotide ribosomal RNA is filed under the name uncultured bacterium. RNAcentral's name for it is "partial 16S ribosomal RNA". It matches the Rfam family "Bacterial small subunit ribosomal RNA", at positions 338 to 795 of the family's 1533-position model. The record is from RNAcentral.